UAUGCACACACUAAGGCCUCCAACAAUAACUGUUGACUUUAUUUUCAGACAGAGAAGCCUGGCAACCAGGAACUGGUUUUUUGGUGAUUUACAAGAACUUAACUGAAUUGGAAAAUAUUUGCUUUAAUGAAACAAUUUACUCUUGUGCAACGCUAAAUUGUGUCAAUCAAGCAAAUAAGGAAGAAAGUCUUAUUUAUAAAAUUGCCUGCUCCUGAUUUUACUUCAUUGCUUCUCAGGCUCCAAGAAGGGGGAAGAAAAAUGAAGAUUUUGAUACUUGGUAUUUUUCUGUUUUUAUAUAGUACCCCAGCCUGGGCGAAAGAAAAGCAUUAUUACAUUGGAAUUAUUGAAACGGCUUGGAAUUAUGCCUCUGACCAUGGGGAAAAGAAACUUAUUUCUGUUGACACGGAACAUUCCAGUAUCUAUCUUCAAAAUGGCCCAGAUAGAAUUGGGAAAGUAUAUAAGAAGGCCAUUUAUGUUCAGUACACAGAUGAAACCUUUAGGACAACUAUAGAAAAACCACUCUGGCUCGGGUUUUUAGGCCCUAUUAUUAAAACUGAAACUGGAGAUAAAGUUUAUGUACACUUAAAAAACCUCGCCUCUAGGCCCUACACCUUUCAUUCACAUGGGAUAACUUACUAUAAGGAACAUGAGGGGGCCAUCUACCCUGAUAACACCACAGGUUUUCAAAGAGCAGAUGACAAAGUAUUUCCAGGAGAGCAGUAUACAUACAUGUUGCUUGCCACUGAAGAACAAAGUCCUGGUGAGGGAGAUGGCAAUUGCGUGACUAGGAUUUACCAUUCCCACAUUGAUGCUCCUAAAGAUAUUGCCUCAGGACUCAUCGGACCUUUAAUAAUCUGUAAAAAAGAUUCUCUAGACAAAGAAAAAGAAAAAAAUAUUGACCAAGAAUUUGUGGUGAUGUUUUCUGUGGUGGAUGAAAAUCUCAGCUGGUACCUAGAAGACAACAUUAAAACCUACUGCUUAGAACCAGAGAAAGUUGAGAAAGACAAUGAAGACUUCCAGGAGAGUAACAGAAUGUAUUCUGUGAAUGGAUACACUUUCGGAAGUCUCCCAGGACUCUCCAUGUGUGUUGAAGACAGAGUGAAAUGGUACCUUUUUGGUAUGGGUAAUGAAGUUGAUGUGCACGCAGCUUUCUUUCAUGGGCAAGCAUUGACCAACAAAAACUACCAUAUUGACACAAUCAACCUCUUUCCUGCUACCCUGUUUGAUGCUUUUAUGGUGGCUCAGAACCCUGGAGAAUGGAUGCUCAGCUGUCAGAAUCUAAACCAUCUGAAAGCUGGUUUGCAAGCCUUUUUUCAGGUCCAGGAGUGUAACAAGUCUUCAUCAAAGGAUAAUAACCAUGGGAACCAUGUUAGACACUACUACAUUGCCGCUGAGGAAAUCAUCUGGAACUAUGCUCCCUCUGGUAUAGACAUCUUCACCAAAGAAAACUUAACAGCACCUGAAAGUGACUCAAAGGUGUUUUUUGAACAAAGUCCCACAAGAAUUGGAGGCUCUUAUAAAAAGCUGGUUUAUCGUGAGUACACAGAUGCCUCCUUCACAAAUCGAAAGGUGAGAGGCCCUGAAGAAGAGCAUCUUGGCAUCCUCGGUCCUGUCAUUUGGGCAGAGGUAGGAGACACGAUCAGAGUAACCUUCCAUAACAAAGGGGAAUAUCCCCUCAGUAUUGAGCCAAUUGGGGUGAGAUUCAGUAAGAACAACGAGGGCACACACUACUCCUCACAUUACAAGACCCAGAGUGGAAGUGUGCCUUCUUCAGCCUCCCAUGUGGCACCCACAGGAACAUUCACCUAUGAAUGGACAGUCCCUGAAGAAGUAGGACCCACUUAUGCAGAUCCUGUAUGUCUAGCUAAGAUGUAUUAUUCUGCUGUGGAUCCCACUAAAGAUAUAUUCACUGGGCUUAUUGGACCAAUGAAAAUAUGCAAGAAAGGAAGUUUACAUGCAAAUGGGAGACAGAAAGAUGUAGACAAGGAGUUCUAUUUGUUUCCUACAGUAUUUGAUGAGAAUGAGAGUUUACUCCUGGAGGAUAAUAUUAGAAUGUUUACAACUGCACCUGAUCAGGUGGAUAAGGAAGAUGAAGACUUUCAGGAAUCUAAUAAGAUGCACUCCAUGAAUGGAUUCAUGUAUGGGAAUCAGCCUGGUCUCAGUAUGUGCAAAGGAGAUUCAGUUGUGUGGUACUUAUUCAGCGCUGGAAAUGAGGCCGAUGUACAUGGGAUAUACUUUUCAGGAAACACAUAUCUGUGGAGAGGAGAACGGAGAGACACAGCAAACCUCUUCCCCCAAACAAGUCUUACGCUCCUCAUGUGGCCUGACACAGAGGGGACUUUUAAUGUUGAAUGCCUUACAACUGAUCACUACACAGGCGGCAUGAAGCAAACAUAUACUGUGAAAAAAUGCAGACAGCAGUCUGAGGAUUCUACCUUCUACCUGGGAGAGAAGACAUACUACAUUGCAGCAGUGGAGGUGGAAUGGGAUUAUUCCCCACAAAGGAAGUGGGAAAAGGAGCUGCAUCAUUUACAAGAGCAAAAUGUUUCCAAUGCAUUUUUAGAUAAGGAAGAGUUUUACAUAGGCUCAAAGUACAAGAAAGUUGUGUAUCGACAGUAUACUGAUAGUACGUUCAGUGUUCCAGUGGAGAGAAAAGCAGAAGAAGAACAUCUGGGAAUUCUAGGUCCACAACUUCAUGCAGAUGUUAAAGACAAAGUCAACAUUAUCUUUAAAAACAUGGCCACGAGACCCUACUCAAUACAUGCCCAUGGGGUACAAACGGAGAGUUCUACAGUUAUUCCAACAUUACCAGGUGAAACUCGAACUUACGUAUGGAAAAUCCUAGAAAGAUCUGGAGCUGGAGAAGAGGAUUCUGCUUGUAUUCCAUGGGCUUACUAUUCAACUGUGGAUCAGGUUAAGGAUCUCUACAGUGGAUUAAUUGGCCCACUGAUUGUUUGUCGAAAACAUUACUUGAAAGUGUUCAAUCCCAGGAAGAAACUGGAAUUUGUCCUUCUGUUUCUAGUUUUUGAUGAGAAUGAAUCUUGGUACUUAGAUGACAACAUCAAAACAUAUUCUGAUCACCCUGAGAAAGUAAACAAAGAUGAUGAGGAAUUCAUAGAAAGCAAUAAAAUGCAUGCUAUUAAUGGAAGAAUGUUUGGAAACCUACAAGGCCUCACAAUGCAUGUGGGAGAUGAGGUCAACUGGUAUCUUAUGGGAAUGGGCAAUGAAAUAGACUUACACACUGUACAUUUUCAUGGCCAUAGCUUCCGAUACAAGCACAGGGGCAUUUAUAGUUCUGAUGUCUUUGACAUUUUCCCUGGAACAUACCAAACCCUAGAAAUGUUUCCAAGAACACCUGGAAUCUGGUUACUCCACUGCCAUGUGACUGACCACAUUCAUGCUGGAAUGGAAACAACUUACACCGUUCUACAAAAUAAAGCAUCUUCUGAGACUCACAGGAGAAUAUGGAAUGUAAUCUAUCCAAUCACAGUCAGUGUGAUUAUUUUAUUGCAAAUAUCUACCAAGGAAUGACCAGGAGAAUAAGGUUUCACCAUGUUGGCCAGGCUGGUCUCAAACUCCUGAUCUCAGAUCCUCUGAUGUUCUUAAUGGUGUGGUGUCAGGAGGCUGCCUCUUAGACAAUCUCCAGAUGUACUGUGAUGUGAGCUUGAAAAAGAGUUCCUGAAGUAACACAUCUGGGAGACAUGCCACUAUCUGAGCUUCCCAAAAGUCUACCAAGAGCUGAGGUGUUGUAUCUUCAUCCUUAGCACAAAGCACCUUGAAAACAGUAAAAGAAGCCUAUAUAUUACAGAUAAAUACAGCACUGAUAAAGCAACAGCUGGGCUGAAUAUCAUAUCAUCACAUGGGCCGUGUAAUUAAUAAUUUACCAUUAGCAUUAGUGCCAUGGCAAAAGCAAAUUUAGGCAUUUUAAAAGGAAACAGAUUCUAGGUUGUACAAAUAAAGUUUUUCCAGAUAUAGUCUUUUAAUACUUUUAUCUUAUGAACUAAUUAUGUAUUUCUGUUUUUUCAAUAAACAAACAAAUGAAAAA
Molecule: RNA transcript, 4045 nt
Organism: Cebus imitator (Panamanian white-faced capuchin)
Lineage: Eukaryota; Metazoa; Chordata; Mammalia; Primates; Cebidae
Gene: CP
Gene name: ceruloplasmin
Exons: 21
Source: RefSeq, a predicted model, not a curated record